This is a long non-coding RNA of Carassius auratus (goldfish), 528 nucleotides long. RefSeq lists it as uncharacterized. NCBI's taxonomy places the organism in Eukaryota, Metazoa, Chordata, Actinopteri, Cypriniformes, Cyprinidae. The transcript has 4 exons. The record is from RefSeq and is a predicted model, not a curated record.
GCGGGAAAAAAGUACCAUCAAAAUACUGGAGCGAGAGUUCAGGAGAAUGUGAGAUUCCUACCAAAAAAGAAGAAUAAUGUCCACAUCCUCUCAGAAGCCAUCAAGCCUCCCAAAGCCUCCAAGUUACAAACCACCUCCUGACAUCACAGCUCACUCACCUGAGGAAGAAGAGCCAUCCCUGCCAAAUCUUUCAGCUAAUAAUACUUUUCAUGAUACAGUUUUUGAGCCUGAUGGGAGGUAGCAACAUUGGAGACGCUGUGAGGAGAAUCCUUCGGAAAAUAGCCACCAUUGAGGCCUGGUCAAAUUACAGCCUUAAAGGCCGAAAAGGAAAACUGAACUUCAUUGGGACAGCCUUCCACCAUAUUGUUUUAAGUAUGCUUUUUAAAACUUCUCUCUUCUUUUCACUUCAUCAUGCAACUUUUUAAAGAGCAAAUGAUAAACAGAAACAUGUCUGUACUGUCCCUGUACCUUCGAAUAAUUUGUUUUCUCGUUUUUGACUUCUAAACGAAAAUAAAAACCAAGUAUAAA